GAGAUAGAUUAGCAUUAGCAAGGAGUCCACAAGCACUCCUAAGAACUGGGCUGAAGGGACCAGCUGUGAACACGGGUCUCCAACCAGCAGGCUCUUCGAACUCUUCGAAAUGCUUUUCUUUGCACCAGCAUGCAAACACUGCCCUGCUUGGGUUCUUCAUUAGCAAAAACCUAUAAUCCACCAGUCUGUGCAGACUCCAACAGCAACCUGCAGCUGGCUGAGCUGCUCCAUGCACCAGUGACACAGAGUGCCAGCCUUUGGGGGAAGAGACACCUUCUUGCAAUUUGCUUUAUAUAAAGCUAUUUUGCAUAGUAAAGCCAAAGUCCAGGAAGAUGGAAGUGAUAAAAUGCACAUUAUGAAUACUAUGAUCCUCCUAGAAAUCUUGCUGAAGAAAUGCAGGAAAUCAGCAAUAUCAACAGCCACAGCCAAGCAACAGUUUAGGGAUGGCAUUUGCUAAAAGUCAACAGCCAUC
Long non-coding RNA from Dromaius novaehollandiae (emu), 472 nucleotides. RefSeq lists it as uncharacterized. The transcript has 3 exons. NCBI's taxonomy places the organism in Eukaryota, Metazoa, Chordata, Aves, Casuariiformes, Dromaiidae. The record is from RefSeq and is a predicted model, not a curated record.